AAUAUUGCACAAUGGGGAAAACCCUGAUGCAGCGACGCCGCGUGAGCGAAGAAGGCCUUCGGGUCGUAAAGCUCUGUUUUGAGGGAAGAUAGUGACGGUAGCUCAGGAGAAAGCCCCGGCUAACUACGUGCCAGCAGCCGCGGUAAUAUGUAGGGGGCAAGCGUUAUCCGGAAUCACUGGGCGUAAAGGGUGCGUAGGCGGCUCUUCAAGUCAGGGGUGAAAGGCUACGGCUCAACCGUAGUAAGCCUUUGAAACUGUAGAGCUUGAGUGCAGGAGAGGAGAGUGGAAUUCCUAGUGUAGCGGUGAAAUGCGUAGAUAUUAGGAGGAACACCAGUGGCGAAGGCGACUCUCUGGACUGUAACUGACGCUGAGGCACGAAAGCGUGGGGAGCAAAC
Molecule: ribosomal RNA, 395 nt
Filed under: uncultured bacterium
Lineage: Bacteria
Description: partial 16S ribosomal RNA
Rfam family: Bacterial small subunit ribosomal RNA
Source: RNAcentral